CGCACAUUGCGCCCCUCGGUAUUCCGUGGGGCAUGCCUGUUCGAGCGUCAUUUAACCCCUCAAGCCUAGCUUGGUAUUGGGUGCUUGUCCCGCCUCUCGCGCGGCGACUCACCUCAAAGUCAUUGGCAGCCCGCAUCUCGCCGGCCGUGAGCGCAGCACAGACGCGCUCUUGGCAACGACGGAUCGGCUCUCCAAAAGCUUAUUUCAACCACUGACCUCGGAUCAGGUAGGGAUACCCGCUGAACUUAA
Molecule: unclassified non-coding RNA, 249 nt
Filed under: Ascomycota sp.
Lineage: Eukaryota; Fungi; Ascomycota
Description: partial contains 5.8S ribosomal RNA, internal transcribed spacer 2, and large subunit ribosomal RNA
Source: RNAcentral